GUGCUCGCUUCGGAAGCACAUAUACUAAAAUUGGAGUGAUAGAAGAUUACCAUGGUCCCUGUGCAAAGGUGACACGCACAUUCAUGAAGUGUUCCAUGUUUUU
Small nuclear RNA from Neomonachus schauinslandi (Hawaiian monk seal), 103 nucleotides. NCBI's taxonomy places the organism in Eukaryota, Metazoa, Chordata, Mammalia, Carnivora, Phocidae. The record is from RefSeq and is a predicted model, not a curated record.